AGCCAAUUUAACACUUUCUCACAGGAAAGCAUUGGAAGACUAUUGCGCAAAACGCUGCACUGUUCAUAUCAGCAUCUGUUCAUAGAAAUGCAUUGAACCAAUGCAUCUCUACAUGGAACAUUUAACUUCUCCAUGUAGGGUGUGGAGAUGCUGAAUGCCAAUGCUACACACUGUGCAGCACUGACACAGGAAGCAUCUCUAGUGGCCAUCUGGGUAGCUGCCACUAGAGGUGUUCUUAGGCAACAAUAUAAAGACAGUGUUUACAUAUAAAAGCCUGAAAAGGCAGUGUGUACAUUCAAAAGCCUGCAG
Non-coding RNA from Pelobates cultripes (western spadefoot toad), 309 nucleotides. Lineage: Eukaryota; Metazoa; Chordata; Amphibia; Anura; Pelobatidae. The record is from the annotation of a GenBank genome assembly.